Megalops cyprinoides (Indo-Pacific tarpon) is the source of this 160-nucleotide long non-coding RNA. RefSeq lists it as uncharacterized. NCBI's taxonomy places the organism in Eukaryota, Metazoa, Chordata, Actinopteri, Elopiformes, Megalopidae. The record is from RefSeq and is a predicted model, not a curated record. The transcript has 3 exons.
UGGGAACACAGUGACUACAAAACCAAGUUCUCCUCUGACUCCUGGAACAACAAUGACUCCUAUACCAGAUAUGGAAACGUCUGCAUCACCUUCCGAGACCACUGAAAAAGAGAGAAGUUCCACACAGACUCCUGGGAAACACGACACCCCAAAACCAGGU